Molecule: ribosomal RNA, 460 nt
Filed under: uncultured bacterium
Lineage: Bacteria
Description: partial 16S ribosomal RNA
Rfam family: Bacterial small subunit ribosomal RNA
Source: RNAcentral
CCUACGGGGGGCAGCAGUGAGGAAUAUUGGUCAAUGGACGGAAGUCUGAACCAGCCAUGCCGCGUGCAGGAAGACGGCUCUAUGAGUUGUAAACUGCUUUUGUACAAGGGUAAACCCGAAUACGUGUAUUCAGCUGAAAGUACUUUACGAAUAAGCAUCGGCUAACUCCGUGCCAGCAGCCGCGGUAAUACGGAGGAUCCAAGCGUUAUCCGGAUUUAUUGGGUUUAAAGGGUGCGUAGGCGGAUUGAUAAGUUAGAGGUGAAAUGUCCGAGCUUAACUCGGGAACUGCCUUUAAUACUGUUGAUCUCGAGAGUAGGUGCGGUAGGCGGAAUGUGUGGUGUAGCGGUGAAAUGCUUAGAGAUCGUACAGAACUCCGAUUGCGAAGGCAGCUUGCCAAUCUAUAUCUGACGUUGAGGCACGAAAGCGUGGGGAGCAAACAGGAUUAGAUACCCGAGUAGUC